UCAAGCUCACCCGGUUCAUUUAGCUUGCAAUUGGAUUGGGAAGGGAAGAUAUCGACAACGGGAGGAGAUAGAAACGAUGAGAUCAUCAUGUGGGGAUAAGAGGGAUUGUUGAAGAUGUAGUAAGUGCUAUUUAAGAAAGGGAUGAGACAUGAUACUAAUGCAACGUCGUCACCACAUGGGAGCAUAGCAGCAUGAUCGCUGUAGGACGCAAAGCCCCGGACGUCGUUGGUGGUAGCUAGUGAGCAUAGUACUUGUCGAGAUGGUUGUUGAAGAACGGAUGGAUGC
This 285-nucleotide long non-coding RNA is filed under the name Elaeis guineensis (African oil palm). RNAcentral's name for it is "long non-coding RNA (EGUI_LNC000293)". The record is from RNAcentral. Lineage: Eukaryota; Viridiplantae; Streptophyta; Magnoliopsida; Arecales; Arecaceae.